RNAcentral lists this non-coding RNA (101 nucleotides) under Bacillus gobiensis. Its description in RNAcentral is "SAM-I sequence". It matches the Rfam family "SAM riboswitch aptamer (S box leader)". From Rfam's summary of the family: The SAM riboswitch is found upstream of a number of genes which code for proteins involved in methionine or cysteine biosynthesis in Gram-positive bacteria. The SAM riboswitch acts at the level of transcription termination control. The record is from Rfam by way of RNAcentral. Lineage: Bacteria; Bacillati; Bacillota; Bacilli; Caryophanales; Bacillaceae.
UUCUUAUCAAGAGCAGGCGGAGGGACUAGCCCGAUGAAGCCCGGCAACCGACUCAUGAGCACGGUGCUAAAUCUUGCAACAGAAAUGUUGAGUGAUGAGAA